RNAcentral lists this transfer RNA (84 nucleotides) under Candidatus Altarchaeales archaeon WOR_SM1_SCG. RNAcentral describes it as "Candidatus Altiarchaeales archaeon WOR_SM1_SCG tRNA". It matches the Rfam family "tRNA". From Rfam's summary of the family: Transfer RNA (tRNA) molecules are approximately 80 nucleotides in length. Their secondary structure includes four short double-helical elements and three loops (D, anti-codon, and T loops). Lineage: Archaea; Nanobdellati; Candidatus Altarchaeota; Candidatus Altarchaeia; Candidatus Altarchaeales. The record is from Rfam by way of RNAcentral.
GCGGGGGUACCCGAGUCGGCCUAAGGGGCAGGACUUAAGAUCCUGUGACGUAAGUCUUCGUGGGUUCGAAUCCCUCCCCCCGCA